AUACGGAGGGUGCAAGCGUUGUCCGGAUUUAUUGGGUUUAAAGGGUGCGCAGGCGGUGCGUUAAGUCAGUGGUGAAAUCUUCCGGCUCAACCGGGAAACUGCCAUUGAUACUGGCGCACUUGAGUACGUACGAGGUAGGCGGAAUUUAUGGUGUAGCGGUGAAAUGCAUAGAUACCAUAAAGAACACCGAUAGCGAAGGCAGCUUACCAGACCGUAACUGACGCUCAGGCACGAAAGCGUGGGGAGCAAACAGAAUUAGAAACCCUAGUAGUCC
This 274-nucleotide ribosomal RNA is filed under the name uncultured bacterium. RNAcentral describes it as "partial 16S ribosomal RNA". It matches the Rfam family "Bacterial small subunit ribosomal RNA", at positions 523 to 796 of the family's 1533-position model. The record is from RNAcentral.